CUCUUUGGGAACUCAGAUUGGCCUUAUGGUGGCCUCUCUUUCCUUGAGGG
Molecule: small nucleolar RNA, 50 nt
Filed under: Pan paniscus (pygmy chimpanzee)
Lineage: Eukaryota; Metazoa; Chordata; Mammalia; Primates; Hominidae
Description: Small nucleolar RNA SNORA64/SNORA10 family (ENSPPAG00000016601.1)
Source: RNAcentral